Molecule: ribosomal RNA, 430 nt
Filed under: bacterium
Lineage: Bacteria
Description: partial 16S ribosomal RNA
Rfam family: Bacterial small subunit ribosomal RNA
Source: RNAcentral
UGGGGAAUCUUCCGCAAUGGACGAAAGUCUGACGGAGCAACGCCGCGUGAGUGAUGACGGCCUUCGGGUUGUAAAGCUCUGUUAAUCGGGACGAAUGGUUCUUGUGCAAAUAGUGCGAGGAUUUGACGGUACCGGAAUAGAAAGCCACGGCUAACUACGUGCCAGCAGCCGCGGUAAUACGUAGGUGGCAAGCGUUGUCCGGAAUUAUUGGGCGUAAAGCGCGCGCAGGCGGAUUGGUCAGUCUGUCUUAAAAGUUCGGGGCUUAACCCCGUGAUGGGAUGGAAACUGCCAAUCUAGAGAAUCGGAGAGGAAAGUGGAAUUCCUAGUGUAGCGGUGAAAUGCGUAGAUAUUAGGAAGAACACCAGUGGCGAAGGCGACUUUCUGGACGAAAACUGACGCUGAGGCGCGAAAGCCAGGGGAGCGAACGGGA